GAAUGAAAUGAUGAGUAAUUGUUUCCCUAUUGGUUUGAUUGCCUGGAUGAUGGCACUUUGUAUUAGUUCUAUCUGAUCAUUC
This is a small nucleolar RNA of Lotus japonicus, 82 nucleotides long. RefSeq annotates it as small nucleolar RNA Z102/R77. Lineage: Eukaryota; Viridiplantae; Streptophyta; Magnoliopsida; Fabales; Fabaceae. The transcript has a single exon. The record is from RefSeq and is a predicted model, not a curated record.